CCUACGGGUGGCUGCAGUGGGGAAUAUUGGGCAAUGGAGGCAACUCUGACCCAGCAACGCCGCGUGAAUGAUGAAGGUCUUCGGAUUGUUAAGUUCUUUUCUUCGGGAAGAAAAAAGUGACGGUACCUUAGGAAUAAGCCUAGGCGAACUACGUGCCAGCAGCCGCUGUAAUACGUAGGAGGCAAGCGUUAUCCGGAAUGACUGGGCGUAAAGGGUGCGUAGGUGGUUCGACAAGUUAGUAGCGCAACUCCGGGGCUCAACUUCGGAACUACUACUAAAACUGUUGGACUUGAGUGCAGGAGAGGCAAGCGGAAUUCCUGGUGUAGCGGUGGAAUGCGUAGAUAUUAGGAGGAACACCAGUGGCGAAGGCGGAUUGCUAGACUGUAACUGACACUGAGGCACGAAAGCGUGGGGAGCAAACAGGAUUAGAUACCCUGGUAGUC
Molecule: ribosomal RNA, 443 nt
Filed under: uncultured bacterium
Lineage: Bacteria
Description: partial 16S ribosomal RNA
Rfam family: Bacterial small subunit ribosomal RNA
Source: RNAcentral